Molecule: transfer RNA, 74 nt
Filed under: Candidatus Iainarchaeum sp.
Lineage: Archaea; Nanobdellati; Candidatus Iainarchaeota; Candidatus Iainarchaeia; Candidatus Iainarchaeales; Candidatus Iainarchaeaceae
Description: tRNA-Pro
Rfam family: tRNA
About the family: Transfer RNA (tRNA) molecules are approximately 80 nucleotides in length. Their secondary structure includes four short double-helical elements and three loops (D, anti-codon, and T loops).
Source: RNAcentral
GGGGCUGUAGUCUAGCCUGGUUAGGACUCUAGCUUUGGGAGCUAGCAACUCCGGUUCAAAUCCGGGCAGCCCCA